GAACGAACGCUGGCGGCAGGCUUAACACAUGCAAGUCGAGCGCGUAGCAAUACGAGCGGCAGACGGGUGAGUAACGCGUGGGAAUCUACCCAACCCUACGGAAUAACGCAUGGAAACGUGUGCUAAUACCGUAUACGCCCUUUGGGGGAAAGAUUUAUCGGGGAUGGAUGAGCCCGCGUUGGAUUAGCUAGUUGGUGGGUAAAGGCCUACCAAGGCGACGAUCCAUAGCUGGUCUGAGAGGAUGAUCAGCCACAUUGGGACUGAGACACGGCCCAAACUCCUACGGGAGGCAGCAGUGGGGAAUAUUGGACAAUGGGCGCAAGCCUGAUCCAGCCAUGCCGCGUGAGUGAUGAAGGCCCUAGGGUUGUAAAGCUCUUUCACCGGUGAAGAUAAUGACGGUAACCGGAGAAGAAGCCCCGGCUAACUUCGUG
RNAcentral lists this ribosomal RNA (431 nucleotides) under uncultured bacterium. RNAcentral describes it as "bacterial SSU rRNA". It matches the Rfam family "Bacterial small subunit ribosomal RNA", at positions 27 to 507 of the family's 1533-position model. The record is from RNAcentral.